ACAACUGGCUGGACUGUGUAAACCCGUAGAUCCGAACUUGUGUUAGAGUUCGGCUCGCAAGCUCGCAUCUCUGGGUCUAUGCCGUCUUGGCACAAGCGAUC
Non-coding RNA from Saccoglossus kowalevskii, 101 nucleotides. RefSeq annotates it as microRNA mir-100. Lineage: Eukaryota; Metazoa; Hemichordata; Enteropneusta; Harrimaniidae. The record is from RefSeq and is marked provisional.